GAUGAACGUUGGCGGUGUGCCUAAUACAUGCAAGUCGAACGGAGACUGUAGCAAUACUGUCUUAGUGGCGAACGGGUGAGUAACGCGUUGAUGAUCUGCCUCGAAGUGUGGAAUAACCUCCCGAAAGGGAAGCUAAUACCGCAUAGUCUCUCAAGGUUUAGAAAAUUGAGAGUAAAGGAUUUAUUCGCUUCGAGAGGAGCCUGCGUCCCAUCAGCUAGUUGGUAGGGUAACGGCCUACCAAGGCAAUGACGGGUAGGGGACCUGAGAGGGUGGCCCCCCACAAUGGAACUGAAACACGGUCCAUACACCUACGGGUGGCAGCAGUAGGGAAUAUUAGAAAUGGGCGGAAGCCUGAUCUAGCAACACCGCGUGUGCGAUGAAGGCCUUCGGGUCGUAAAGCACUUUUUGGAGGGAAUAGGAAGGAAGGUACCUCCAGAAUAAGUCUCGGCUAACUACGUGCCAGCAGCCGCGGUAAUAGGUCUACUG
RNAcentral lists this ribosomal RNA (486 nucleotides) under uncultured bacterium. Its description in RNAcentral is "bacterial SSU rRNA". It matches the Rfam family "Bacterial small subunit ribosomal RNA", at positions 28 to 537 of the family's 1533-position model. The record is from RNAcentral.